Non-coding RNA from Cricetulus griseus (Chinese hamster), 7092 nucleotides. Lineage: Eukaryota; Metazoa; Chordata; Mammalia; Rodentia; Cricetidae. The record is from RefSeq and is a predicted model, not a curated record.
CCCUCCACACUCCAGUUUGAAGUCCCCAUUGUCACUUCAAGUGACUUUGCCAAUCAGAGGAGGAGGAGGAAGAGGAGGAGGAGGAGGAGGAGGAGGAGACCCUCCCAUUCAUGGCUUCAGAAAUGCCUGGAGACAGAAUAAGGAAAAAAUGUAGAAGCAUUAACUUUUUCAAAGUAUUUGUGGUUUUGAACCUGUCAAACCUGUGACACUUGUACAAGGUCACAGGACUGCUCAGAUCAGUGGGUUUCAGGAUGCUCACCCAAGACCAGAUUCUCAUCCUCUGACCACCCCAGGCACUCCCUUUCCUGCAGAGGCUGAUGAGAAGGACAUGUGGAAAGGACUGAAGUUGCCCUGGCCUCCCCAGGACCAGUUUGGGAGCCACAAAGACAGCACUGAUGAGUGACUGCCUGACACUCCAGUGUCACAAGAUGUGACAAGCAGAGCCACAGGUCUGGCCCUUGGGUAGCAUGUGCAGGCAUGCAGGUGGUGCUGCCAACAGACUAUAAGACUAAGGAGAUGAGGGUUGGCAGGAGCUGGGAAGGAACUCCAGGAAGUGGGGGUGCGUCUACCAGAAGCCCCUCCCCUGCACGUGGCUAUUGAUAUUGAUGGUAUCAGGUUCCUCUCCCAAACCACAAAUGGCCAUCGUCCCCCACCACUCCCAUCAUCUGGCUUCCCAGCCUGCCCCCAAAGUUCAGCUACCUCCACAUUCUCCUUGCCCCAUGCUAGCCAGGAGACCCAGGAGAAAUAAACCAAAAAAAGAGAUUGAAAAUUUAAUCAAAAGUAGCAAUAACAAACCAUGUGUGGAUAUCAGCCAGCAACUGAGUUGCAUGAACACCACCAAGAUCACUGCAGGCUGAGGCCCCUGAGAUCCUAGGAGUGCAAGAGAGGGCAGAGGCAGAGAGGGGAGAGGCCAAGGAGAAGGGGGCUGGCUUCCCCCAAUCGCCAGAGGGGAGGACAGGGUGUGACAGCAAGGCCCCAAACAUUCUCCUAAGGAACCCAGACGCUGUUCACUGUUCGGUCUAGACUGGAGUCUGGCAUUUCUUCUGAUUUCCUCAGUCUGGGACCUCAGAAGAGGCACAGGAGAAGAGAGAGUGAACAUCAGGAAGGGUUGAGGAUUCUGGAAUUCUCCUUGGUCUCUUCCUCUCAGAAAAAGUUGCUAAGAGAACACAACCCAGGCAGUCUCUUUUUAUUAUUUUUUCCUGGGGAGGGGUGAGGGUGCAGGUCUCAUAGAGCAGGAGGAGGCAGGAGGGCUUGAAGGAAAUGGUUCCAUCCUUCCACCCUAAGGGUCCUUGAUUGAACUCCGGUGGUCGGGCUUGGUGGCAAAUUCCCUUACCCAACAAGUCACCUCUGUGACACAGACACUCACUGUCUCUGCUUCCUGCUCACCAUGGUGUCGGCAGCUCUGCUCCACCAGGCACCUUCCCACCAGGAUGGAGUGAAACCUUUAGAACUACGGGCAAAAUAACCCCCCCAAAAAAAAGUAGAGGAAAGGGAGAAGGAGGAAGAGGGGAGGAAGAGAGAAAGGAGGAGAGGAAGAAAAGGGGGUGUGAGGGAGGGGGAGGAGGAAGGAAGGAAGGAAGGAAGGAAGGAAGGAAGGAAGGAAGGAAGGAAGGAAGAAGGAAGUUGCAGCCCCCUGGGUUGAGUACAGUUUGAUGGUAACUGCAGCUCUUCUCAAGGGUAAUUCCAUUGACUCCCCUGACUCCCUCCAAUAUUGGGGGAUAAAACGUGGAGUCAGAUCAGAUAGAUAACAGAUAUUUUAUUAAGAAAUAGUACUCACAGAUCCACCUAGCCAGGCGACAGGGAGCCAGGGAGGAAAGGAAGCAUGUGUGCCCCCCUCAAUUCUUUAAACCUUUCCCACUGACCACACAUGUUUUCUCCCUUCACUCCAAUGUCCCCUUGACCUUAGAGACCAGCUUCUUUAAAGGCUUUACCUAGUGGGGCCCUAGUCACCAUGUCCUUCUCAGUUUGCAGCUGCUGAAUUAUUCAUCCAUAGUGAAAGAUGGCCAAGGAGAGGCCGGAAUUAGGUUGCACAUGCCUGUGGCCCCAGCACUCGGGAUGCUGAAACAGCAGAAUUUCUUAUUUGAAGCUAGUCUGGGCUAGAUAGUAAGAUGCUUAAAAAAAAAAAUGGUUCAGCAGUUAGGAGCACUUGCUGCUUUUGCAGAGGGCCUGGGUUUGGUUCCCAGCACCCACAUAAUGACUUGCAACCAUCCAUGAUUCCAGUCCCUGGUGACAUCCUCUCUGACCUCAGCAGGCACCAGAUACACACAGUGCACACACAUACACGCAGACAAACAUCUAUACACAUUAGACAAAAUUUAAAAAGCAGGGAGUUGAGGGCCUAGAGGACACCAAGGGACACUCCCCACUGGUCUCCCUGCCCACGGUGUGUGGAGGCCAUCCUACUUUCUCCUGCCAACUGACCAAGUCAACGACUCUGGUAAUGUGGUCACUCUUUCCUAACCCUCUGGCCUUUCGGCACAAAGAAAUGGCCAGGUGGCAGGUAUAGGUUAAAGUUUAAUGAGAGCAUCACUGUGUAUCCUGGUGAAAAUGUCCCUGUCUGGCAACCAGAGGAGACUUCUAGACACACAGAGCUUAACCUGUGUCUAAGACGUUAAAAACAAAGCAGGUCACGGUGGUGGCACAAGCCUUUAAUCCAGUACUCAGGAGGCAGAGGCAGCCGGAUCUCUGAGUUCGAGGUCAGCCUGGUCUACAGUGUGAGUUCCAGGACAGCCAAGACUACACAGAGAAAUCCUGUCUUGAAAACUCACAAAACAAAAAAGAACAAUAUUCCCCAAAAUGGCUCAGCAGAAAAAGUCACUGGCUGCACAAGCCAGGACUGUGAACGAGGAGUUCAAAGCCUGGAACCCACAGAAAGGUGAAAAAAGAGAACAGACUCCUUACAAAGUUGUCCUAUGACCUCCACACAUGCACAGUGCAAUGUGCACCCCACACACGCAUCAUAUCCAUCUGUCACCCAAAUCUGCUGGGCUGCUUGUCCUCAGUCUGGAGCUGUUGCAGAGCCCUCUCUGCCUGGGGCUGUCUCAAAGAUGCCAGCCCUCAUGUCACUUGGUAAAAUGGCGUGGGGUGAGUAGCAUUUGUCAGGUGUGUGGUGUCUUGCUCAUGGAAGCCCCAGAGGCUUGUCUGAUGCCGAGCUUCCUUCUGAUAUGUGGGAGGUGUGAGGUGGAGUAGAUUUGGAACCACCCAGGAGACAUACCUCUGGGCGCAUCUGUGUGGGUGUUUCCAGAGUAGUUUAACUGAAACAAGGAUGACCCUUGCCAGAUGUUGGCAGCACUGUCCUGUGGGCUGGGGUUCUAAAUAAAACACAAGAGGAGAAAGUGAACUGAAUGAACAGCAGUGUUUAACUCUCUCUGCUUCCUGACUGCAGAUACAGUGUGACCAGCUGCCUCCUGCUCCUGCUGCCACCCUUCCUUGAACUGUGAGCCCAAAAUAACCAACCCCUCCCCUUUCUUCCCUCCUCCUCCCUCCCUCCCUCCUUCAUUCCUUCCCUCCCUCCUUCCUUCCUCCCAUAGCCUUGGUCAGACAUUAUUGUCACAACAAUGAGUAACUAAUACCUCACAGGUCACCAAAUGCUGAAGCUGAGAACCGCUCUCACAUUCCAUGGUGACACAGAGUGGCAAUGUCAGUAUGCACAUAAAACAGAUCUGUGCAUGUUCACUAACCUGGCAUCUUUUCCUGCCACAGUUCCCAGGUCCCUUUGUGAACCAUUUGGAUCAUCCAUAGCAGGAAUGGAAAACUGGGCGUUUGCCACAUCGGGAGGCAGAUGUGUGUCUGACUGCCCUGGCUGAGGUGCUGUGGGCACUGAAGCCGCCUUAGCUGCCAUGGUUCUGCUUCUGUAGACAUCCACUCAAUGUCUUCUAGAACAUACUUUGUAGGCACCAAACCAGCGAAUUGAUAACUUAAGGACUGCCCCCAUACAUCUUGGACAUCUUGGGACUUUACUGGCCAUGCUCACUUCUGCCCCUGCCCACCCCACCCCUCCCCUGGGAUAUGGCAUUGGUUGGUGUUAUGUGACAGACUUUUUCCUAGGGAGACUUCACACACGUUUAUCAACCCCAGAAAGGGAACCCACAACAGACCAAGUAAUGAUUUUAUCAAAAUCCAAUCGUUUACUGAGAUUUCUAACAGGAAUAUGGCUGGGAAGUCACUUAUGGAAACAGGGAUGACUCUAAACAGCCAAAUCACUGAAAAGCCCACCCCAGCAGGGGCGACAACUCACAAAAGCUGUCUGAGGAAUCCCUCUCAGAUCUGCUGGUCAGUCCCCUCCUCUUCGUCUAUGAAACUGGGAGGGGCCUUGCGAAUCUCCCCAGUUUCCGAUUUCCCAGACAAUUGGCUUGAUGUUUCGUUUUACACUGGGUCCGGCUGAGACACCAUAUCCCACCCAGACUUCGACUCGGAGCCAGGAAGUGGAAUGACUCUGUGAACUCUGUGGAGAAACACAUGCUGCACCAAGCUUGGGCAGCAUUCUGUCGGGAUUCCACCCACUGCUUCUCCAACUGGGAUGCUGUGCAGAUCUUGGACCCUGCAUCCAACAGUCUCAGAAAGGUCUGGUUAUUCUUCCUUCAAAGAGGCACUGUGACUCCAGGAAGUGGCCAUGGGUCUCUUUGGAAAUAAAUAACCAGGCUAUCAGUGCCAUACGGUCAAGUGUGGCAGCAACUUUGGGGAUGGGUAACCUCCCUUUGGAAGAGUGGGUCUGGUGUGCACUCUAGCUCAGUAAACAACUGUGGCCUUUUCCUGUCACAGUGUCUGUCUUCAGUCUCUGAUGGUCCAUUGAAUCCUUCUGAUGGUGUAAAUUACGCCAGUACCCUUGCUGCCUGCUCCUCUGUCUCGUUCUGGGAACACCAGAUAACUAUCUGCCGAGUGCUGUUCAGACUUCCACCUGCCACUCCCGUCUUACAGUAAUUUUCCCCACCUUGCUCAUAAUUUUAAGUUCCACCAAGGGGUGUCAUUAUCUCAAGCUCCCCUCUUCCCUAUUGAUACCAGGGAAGACAGUCCAAUCACAGCAACUAUUAUUGCCAGCCUUGGCUUCUAGAGGUCAGCCAUCAUGGAGCUUCUGGACCACGCCACCCACCAUUGACCCUCUCUCACCAGCACCUGAGAAAUGCACCAUCGCCAGGAGUCCUUGGAGCUGGGGCAGCAGCUGGGGUUCUGACAUUUCUUAUUCACUGAGAUGAGUCCUACCUGGAUGUCCCCAAGUGUCAUCUUAGCAGCAGUGAGCAUCCUUCCUGAAGACCUUGCAAGGCUGUGAAAUCCUGUAUCCCUGGUGGACCUCUCCUGUUCCCACUUGGCACCACACUGCCUCCGGCCCAGGGGCCUUUGUCAUCAAUCCCUGCAAGUCAGCAGUGAUCCUGCAGCCUGCUUGGCACAACAUCUGCUUUGUGACCCUUUCCUGGGGAGAUGUAAACAAGUCUCUGCUCCCCAUCGGCCGCACACCAAUGACAGAUCGAAAUAACAAUUGCUCCAAAGUUCAGCGUCAGCUUGGAGAACCAAUGAGGAGUUUAUUGGGCUUACUUAUAGAGCAUGGAUAAUGGCUACACACCAGAGCUCAGGUGACCUCAAAGCUGUCACAUCACUGAAAAAUCUCACCCAGCAUGGAUGAACCUUCCACAGUCUAUGUACUAGCCCCGCCCCGUGGCCUCCCGCCCCCGCCCCACGAUCUUGAGACUAUGUGCAGUUGAGGGAAAUUACUUACUGCUGCAGGGAGUGGCUGAAACCUCGGGUGGGGCUCUAGUGAGUCUCCUCAUCUUUCCUAGGAGAGAAUGUCAACAGUCCUGCCUCAAGGGUGUCUUGAGUGUUGUCAUGGCUGCUCUGAUGAAAAUGGUAACCGUUCUCGUGCCUGUGGGACAGUGCUCUCCAGCACCAUUCUUUACUUCCCUAAGUUGCAGCACAAUCACAUCUUGAUCCCAGUCAAGGCGGAUGUCUGUCUCAGGGUAGAUGCUUUCUGUUUUGCAAGCCUGAGGCCUGUCUCUACCAGCAGGUGGGACCACAACCUUUAACCAGGAGUGGGCCAAGUGUGCAGAGCCAGAGGGCUAGUGAGGACGUAGAGACUUGAGAUUGUCAAAUGCACCCACAAAAAGUCCCCACCCAUGUGCCAAUCAUCCGGAUCCCAUGCUCUCCCGCAGCCCUGACCCACGAGCAGCUUCUGGACUUGGGAUCCAGCAGCUUCUCAUUAAGCUACAGUCUGGUCCUCGGCAUCUUCCGUCCUCCACCUGAGGAACUGCGAGGCUCUUAACACACAUAGUCCAGGAGGCCCUGUGGGUUUUACACUUCACCGGGAUGGGUGACUGUUCCACCCUAGCCUGUCAUGAUCCUCCUCCCCCUAACCAUUACUCUACAACUUUGCUUUUGUAUUUGUAUUUAUAAUGAUUCUUCCACAUCUGUCAAAUGCUUGCCCACGCCAGCCAGUGCAUCUGCUCCUAUAACCUCUCAAUCCCAGGUCACCCCAAUUGUGCUUUUAACCUAUGCACUGACAGCAUGUGGUAGGCUUUCCAUAUUGUCCCUACCUCCAGGAACAGGUUUCUGGUUGCCAGAAAACCAACAGGUCAUGUGCCACAAAAAUCUCAUCUCAUCCAGGUGGUGGUGGUUCAUGCUUUUAAUUCCAGCAUUCAGGAGACAGAGGCAGGUGGAUCUCUGAGUCCAAGGCCAGCAUGGUCUACAAAAUGAAUUCCAGGACAGCCAGGGCUACACAGAGAAACCCUGUCUCAAAACAACAACAACAACAAAAAGUCUCAUCUCAAAUUGUCUCUCCCUGAUCUCUUCCCAUUCUUUCUUCCAUCAGAGCUCAGAAGCUGGCUCUGUGGAAGGAGAGCUGAAUUAGACAGAGGGGACUUGGCUUUGCCUCGGUGGUUAUAGAAGCCCCAGCUGGAAACACAUGGAAUCUCUGAAGUUCAACUGAACCCUUGGAGCUGUCUCAAAUGGAAGACUCUUGAUUCUCAAAAGAACUAUGAGAUUUAAGUUGUGGGGAAUGGAUGGGGGCAUUGGGAAGAACACACCUAUGGUCAAGAUUCCCCAAGGUUGAUUAACUGGUUAGAACUGUGGUUGUGAGAAAGUAAAACACCGCUAGUCAGACUCCAA